This 434-nucleotide ribosomal RNA is filed under the name uncultured bacterium. RNAcentral's name for it is "bacterial SSU rRNA". It matches the Rfam family "Bacterial small subunit ribosomal RNA", at positions 343 to 794 of the family's 1533-position model. The record is from RNAcentral.
UGGAGGCAGCAGUGGGGAAUAUUGGACAAUGGGCGCAAGCCUGAUCCAGCCAUGCCGCGUGAGUGAUGAAGGCCUUAGGGUUGUAAAGCUCUUUUAGCAGGGAAGAUAAUGACGGUACCUGCAGAAAAAGCCCCGGCUAACUUCGUGCCAGCAGCCGCGGUAAUACGAAGGGGGCUAGCGUUGCUCGGAAUUACUGGGCGUAAAGCGCACGUAGGCGGCUUCUUAAGUCGGGGGUGAAAUCCUGGAGCUCAACUCCAGAACUGCCUUCGAUACUGGGAAGCUCGAGUUCGGGAGAGGUGAGUGGAACUGCGAGUGUAGAGGUGAAAUUCGUAGAUAUUCGCAAGAACACCAGUGGCGAAGGCGGCUCACUGGCCCGAUACUGACGCUGAGGUGCGAAAGCGUGGGGAGCAAACAGGAUUAGAUACCCCGGUAGG